CUGCGCUGCGUAAAGUCCCUGAAUGCUGCUUGUGUAUACAAGAAGAGCCGUCGCCGCUUUCCCCUCUGCGCCAUCAGGGCCUCGAGGGGUUCUCAUGUUGUCCCAGGGGGGGGGGCAUUCUGUUCGACUUUCACAACAAUGAGCUCAUCGCUGAAGAUCCUUCUGCAUCUAGGCUCCACCUGAGAGGGGACCCACAACUCGGCCUUUUCAAGCCAGCGUGCGGAGCUCCAGGUGAUCCAAGCAGACUAAAGUCCAAUGAGCGGUUGAUCCACUCACUUGCACCGUGACCCUGAAACUCAGGUCCCUAGUGUACGUCUGCCGGUGACUCGAUGGCCCAGCUCAGGUUGCAAGGUCUUAUCAAGUGAUUGAAAAAUCCUGCGUGGUCAUUCCUCAGCGAUCUGCUUCACAACAACAAAACUGUUUGUUUUGACUCCCAGUGGGUCAGUCACCUGUGUGUGUUUCCUUACGUGUGUGUUUGUUACAGUGUGUGUGUUUGAGAUAGAGAGAGUGACAGCGAAACUGAGGACUCAAUUAGAUGAGGCAGUAAUAAUAUGGGCUGUGUAUGAUAAACAUUUCAGUGAUCCCUGGAACACUGGAUCACUGUCUAUGUUUUUGAGGAAUAUUAUAAUCGGUCUUAUCUCACCUCUUUGUUAUUCUGUCCAGACUAACCUGUUCAAAAGGUGCGUCAUCCGACUGAAAGGGGAGAGAGGUUAUUGAAAUAUGCUUUGUCAUACUAAAUGUGGUUGAUCCAGUUAGCUUGUGUAUUAUAAUGUUGAUAUCAAGUUUAACCCCAAAAUAAAAACCUUCCAAAAAAAUACAUAGAAAAAUAGAAUGAAUUGCGUCAGAUAAAAUGUAUCAUCAUAGAGUCAAAUAAACUGUUUUUAGUUUUGGAAUCUAACCUCACUGAUAUAUAGAUUUACUCAAGUGGGCUACUGCACUUAUGAAUAUGCAUGUUCGUUUUACUAUUACUGAAGUACAGUCUGUGUAUUUCUUCUAGAAAUUCCAGGCCUGAAGUUAUUAACAAUCACUUUUUUAAAUGUUAAUAUUUUUUUUUUAUUUCGGAAGUGAAAGGACCAAAGGUGGCUUCCACUGGUGUGUAUACCUUUAAGAGUUCGGGC
Gasterosteus aculeatus aculeatus (three-spined stickleback) is the source of this 1118-nucleotide long non-coding RNA. The record is from Ensembl. Lineage: Eukaryota; Metazoa; Chordata; Actinopteri; Perciformes; Gasterosteidae.